Molecule: ribosomal RNA, 340 nt
Filed under: Campsicnemus pumilio
Lineage: Eukaryota; Metazoa; Arthropoda; Insecta; Diptera; Dolichopodidae
Description: partial 12S ribosomal RNA
Source: RNAcentral
UUAUUUAGAAAUAUAAAGAUUAGAGUAGUAAUAGUUAUGGUCUUGAAACUCAAAAAAUUUGGCGGUAUUUUAGUCUAUUCAGAGGAACCUGUAAUGUAAUCGAUAAUCCACGAUGGAUCUUACUUAAUUUUGUAAUUUAAUUUGUAUAUCGCCGUUAUUUGAAAAUUUUAUAAGAAAAAUAAUUUUCUAAAAUUUUUAUUAAAAAAUAAAUCAGGUCAAGGUGCAGUUUAUGAUUAAGUUUUAUAUGGGUUACAAUAAAUUUAUUUAUACGGAUUAAAAAGUGAAAUAUUUUUAAGAAGGUGGAUUUGAUAGUAAAUUUUUAAAGAUAAAAAAAUUGAUU